Molecule: ribosomal RNA, 375 nt
Filed under: uncultured bacterium
Lineage: Bacteria
Description: bacterial SSU rRNA
Rfam family: Bacterial small subunit ribosomal RNA
Source: RNAcentral
AUACGUAGGGAGCGAGCGUUGUCCGGAAUUACUGGGCGUAAAGGGUGCGUAGGCGGCAUGGCAAGUCAGAUGUGAAAUCCCCGGGCUUAACUCGGGAGUUGCAUUUGAAACUGCAGUGCUUGAGUGCAGGAGAGGAAAGCGGAAUUCCUAGUGUAGCGGUGAAAUGCGUAGAUAUUAGGAGGAACACCAGUGGCGAAGGCGGCUUUCUGGACUGUAACUGACGCUGAGGCACGAAAGCGUGGGGAGCAAACAGGAUUAGAUACCCUGGUAGUCCACGCCGUAAACGAUGGAUACUAGGUGUGGGGGAGAUACAACCUCCGUGCCGCAGCAAACGCAAUAAGUAUCCCGCCUGGGGAGUACGGUCGCAAGGCUGAA